Long non-coding RNA from Oryzias latipes (Japanese medaka), 1037 nucleotides. RefSeq lists it as uncharacterized. The record is from RefSeq and is a predicted model, not a curated record. Lineage: Eukaryota; Metazoa; Chordata; Actinopteri; Beloniformes; Adrianichthyidae.
ACUUAUUUUAAGUAGAUUGGAAGGCAAAAGAAAAGUGUGCAUAUGUUAAAAACUGUCGUGAAAGUAAUUAUUUAAACCUUUUUAUUUAAUUUAAUAUAUUUUUAAGGGUGUCAGGAAGGGCGUCCGGGGAAAAGCUCUGCCAAACCACCUGUGCUAAUCAGUGAAAGCUGAUUUUUGACAGUUUUGACCCCUGACGGAAUGUGCUGACACACUGUAAACCCGGAUAGUCAAAUGAGCUCAAAAGUUUUAUAAUCACUGAACUCAAAAGUAACAAACAAGUUGAGUCAGCUUAAAACCUAUAAGCCGAUUCAACUUUUGCCACAGUUAUAUGUUUAUUGGACUAAAACAUUUUGAGUAAAUGAAACCUUGGAGUCAAAACUUAUGAGUAAUGAGACGUGAUGACGUCAUAACGUACGCCCAUGAACGUGAACUCAGCCACAGAAGUCUUCAAGAUGGCGGAGGUCUGAUGCGAGUGUCAGCUGGCCCAAGUUGAUAACGCACAUACGUCUAGUGAACCGGCGGUGCGUUUGAAAAAUAAGAGCGUAGAUGUGAGCUGAGUUUCAUCGCAUCACAAAUGUCAACCUGGAAAAACAGUUUUAUUUUGACCUGGAGAGACAGACGCAGAGGAUGCUGAUCUUUUUGAGACAGAAGGCAGCACGAACCGGAAGGCUCUAUGCGACAUUCUGCACCUCUAUGAUAAACAGCAAGAGCAGACUGCUGAUGUCAAAUGUACUUCUGUCCUGUACUGGCUUCUAAUAUACAAACGUGAGGAGGACCCACAGUUUUUCAAAGUUUGGAAUAUUAAAGAGUCACCAGAGGCAGACAUCAGCAGCACCUCUGUUGGCAUUCUGACCGUCAGCAACAACAAUACAAGUUCAGUGCAUUUCUGUCCGCUCAGUACAGCAGUUGUGGUGGAAGAUGAGCUUGUGGUAGGCGACAUUCCCAAAUGGGUAUUUUUUUGAGCGCUAAUGUUUGUAGGGAAAGGGCAGCCUAAGAAAAUACAGUUUUAUGUGGGAAAAGUGUAAAAAAAAAAAAAA